GAUGAACGCUGGCGGCGUGCCUAAUACAUGCAAGUCGAGCGAACGGACGAGAAGCUUGCUUCACUUAUGUUAGCGGCGGACGGGUGAGUAACACGUGGAUAACCUACCUAUAAGACUGGGAUAACUUCGGGAAACCGGAGCUAAUACCGGAUGAUAUUUUUAACCGCAUGGUUCAAAAGUGAAAGACGGUCUUGCUUUCACUUAUAGAUGUAUCCGCGCUGCAUUAGCUAGUUGGUAAGGUAACGGCUUACCAAGGCAACGAUGCAUAGCCGACCUGAGAGGGUGAUCGGCCACACUGGAACUGAGACACGGUCCAGACUCCUACGGGAGGCAGCAGUAGGGAAUCUUCGGCAAUGGGCGAAAGCCUGACGGAGCAACGCCGCGUGAGUGAUGAAGGUCUUCGGAUCGUAAAACUCUGUUAUUAGGGAAGAACAUAUGUGUAAGUAAAUGUGCACAUCUUGACGGUACCUAAUCAGAAAGCCACGGCUAACUACGUG
This 497-nucleotide ribosomal RNA is filed under the name uncultured bacterium. Its description in RNAcentral is "partial 16S ribosomal RNA". It matches the Rfam family "Bacterial small subunit ribosomal RNA", at positions 28 to 507 of the family's 1533-position model. The record is from RNAcentral.